UCGUUAGCUCAGUCGGUAGAGCAGUUGGCUUUUAACCAAUUGGUCGCUGGUUCGAACCCAGCACG
Molecule: transfer RNA, 65 nt
Filed under: uncultured Luminiphilus sp.
Lineage: Bacteria; Pseudomonadati; Pseudomonadota; Gammaproteobacteria; Cellvibrionales; Halieaceae
Rfam family: tRNA
About the family: Transfer RNA (tRNA) molecules are approximately 80 nucleotides in length. Their secondary structure includes four short double-helical elements and three loops (D, anti-codon, and T loops). Further hydrogen bonds mediate the characteristic L-shaped molecular structure. tRNAs have two regions of fundamental functional importance: the anti-codon, which is responsible for specific mRNA codon recognition, and the 3' end, to which the tRNAs corresponding amino acid is attached (by aminoacyl-tRNA synthetases). tRNAs cope with the degeneracy of the genetic code in two manners: having more than one tRNA (with a specific anti-codon) for a particular amino acid; and 'wobble' base-pairing, i.e. permitting non-standard base-pairing at the 3rd anti-codon position.
Source: RNAcentral